Hibiscus syriacus is the source of this 1022-nucleotide long non-coding RNA. RefSeq lists it as uncharacterized. The record is from RefSeq and is a predicted model, not a curated record. The transcript is spliced from 3 exons. Lineage: Eukaryota; Viridiplantae; Streptophyta; Magnoliopsida; Malvales; Malvaceae.
AAGAGGACAUGGGCAUUGACGAAAUGUUAGUUUUCAUUACUUAAUUAUUUCGAUUGACAGACUGCUUGUACUGAAGCUUUGAAACAUAUUGAAUGUACUUAAAAUAUAGAACACUUGAGAUCGGCUGAUUUCAUUGUCGAAGCAAUUGUGGAAUCAAAAGAUGUGAAGAAAAAGCUGUUCAUCGAACUGGAUAAGAUCGCAAAGUGUUCGGCCAUUUUAGCAUCUAAUACAAGUUCCAUCUCCAUUACUCGGUUCGCGUCCGAAACCAGCAGACAACACCAGGUCAUUGGAAUGCAUUUCAUGAAUCCUCCUCCAGUAAUGAAGUUGGUUGAGAUUGUUCGAGGUGCAGACACAUCAGAUGAAACAUUUCAUGUGACGAAAGCAUUGGCGGAGAGGACUAUCCCGGCUUUAUCGUGAAUCGAAUCCUUAAGGCAAUGAUAAAUGAAGCAUUCUUCACCCUUUAUACUGGGGUGGCCACCAAGGAAGAUAUUGACACAGGAAAGAAGUUAGGGACAAACCAUCCCAUGGGUCCCUUGGAGCUUGCAGAUUUCAUAGAACUUGAUGUGUGUUAUCUGUUAUUGAAGUUCUACAUACUGGUCUAGGUGACAAUAAGUAUGCCCCUUACCCUCUUCUUGUGCAUUACGUCGGUGCCAGUUGUGUUGGGAGAAAAUGUGGUAUCGGGGUAUACAAUCACCAUAAACCAUCUCCUCGGCUCUGAAUUUAUCUUAUUUAAUGGUAAUUCUGCAAAUUGCAUAUGCAUGUGUCCCCUAUGUUGCUUGCCAGCUCAGAAACCUUUAGUAUAAGGCAAGGAACAUUAAAAGAAAACCCUCCUUUUUCCUCACAAAUGAUGGCCAAGGUGACCCACAGGGAGGAAACCCCAAACCCUACCAGAGACUAUGAAAUUCAUCCAUUGUUUCCGUAACCCUAAAGUUGGCAUUAUUAGGCACCAUCUUUACUUUAUUGAAAGUGAUUGAAUUGGAAUCCAAUAAGGGUUGAUUAUUACACACCCCAUAAAAAAGGAC